Long non-coding RNA from Struthio camelus australis, 388 nucleotides. RefSeq lists it as uncharacterized. The record is from RefSeq and is a predicted model, not a curated record. NCBI's taxonomy places the organism in Eukaryota, Metazoa, Chordata, Aves, Struthioniformes, Struthionidae.
CAUGCCUACUGCUGCCUGCAGAUUUGACUAUGAAAAAGCAGGUGACACAAGUUUGGAUCUCAAUGGAAAAUGGAGCUCGCAUAAGAAGCACAAAUAUUUCACAGUGUUGUAAUUAGAGCACACUAAAGGAGCCUGGUACCCAGAAAUGGUGGAAUGAACAGAGACUAGAGCUAAGAGGGAGCUGGAAGCCAUCUCAAGAGGUCAUCUUAACUCAUCCUUCUACUCCAAAGCAGAAUCAGCUCAACCCAAAGCAUUCCUGACAGCCACUGGCCAGGCGUCAUGGACAGGUUCACCUGCAUGUGCAGUCCAGACCUUGCAAUGUGUGAAUGGGAGUCUUGAAGAGAGAAGAAAAGUGGUAAGCAUUUGCUUUAAACAACCUACAGGCUUG